AGAGCGAACGCUGGCGGCAGGCCUAACACAUGCAAGUCGAGCGCCGUAGCAAUACGGAGCGGCAGACGGGAGAGUAACACGUGGGAACGUACCCUUUGGUUCGGAACAACACAGGGAAACUUGUGCUAAUACCGGAUAAGCCCUUACGGGGAAAGAUUUAUCGCCAAAGGAUCGGCCCGCGUCUGAUUAGCUUGUUGGUGAGGUAACGGCUCACCAAGGCUACGAUCAGUAGCUGGUCUGAGAGGAUGAUCAGCCUCACUGGGACUGAGACACGGCCCAGACUCCUACGGGAGGCAGCAGUGGGAAUAUUGGACAUAAGGGCGCAAGCCUGAUCCAGCCAUGCCGCGUGGGUGAUGAAGGCCCUAGGGUUGUAAAGCCCUUUCGGCGGGGAAGAUAAUGACGGUACCCGCAGAAGAGCCCGGCUAACUUCGCGCCAGCAGCCGC
This 444-nucleotide ribosomal RNA is filed under the name uncultured bacterium. RNAcentral's name for it is "SSU rRNA". It matches the Rfam family "Bacterial small subunit ribosomal RNA", at positions 26 to 518 of the family's 1533-position model. The record is from RNAcentral.